UUAGUAACUGCGAGUGAAGUGGAUAAGCUCAAAUUGAAAUCUGGCAGUCUGAUUUUUCAUCUUGGCUGUCCGAAUUGUAAUCUAGAGAAGUGCUACCUGUACUGGACCGUGUAUAAGUCUCCUGGGAUGGAGCAUCAUAGAGGGUGAGAAUCCCGUCUUUGACAUGGACUUGCCAGUGCGUUGUGGUGUACUUUCAAAGAGUCGAGUUGUUUGGGAAUGCAGCUCUAAAUGGGUGGUAAACUCCAUCUAAAGCUAAAUAUUGGCGAGAGACCGAUAGUGAACAAGUACCGUGAGGGAAAGAUGAAAAGUACUUUGGAAAGAGAGUUAAACAGUAUGUGAAAUUGUUGAAAGGGAAACACUUGAUGUCAGUUGUGUUGGCUAGGAUUCAACCCGGCUUGUUUGCUAGGUGAAUUUCCUUGUCCGACAGGCCAACAUCAGUUUUGACUGUCAGAAAAAGGCGGGAGGAAUGUGGCACCUUCGGGUGUGUUAUAGCCUUUGGUCAGAUGUGGCAGUCGAGACUGAGGGAUGCAGCGUGCCGCAAGGCUGGGUUUCGACCACGUUCGCGCUUAGGAUGUUGGCUUAAUGGCAUUAAUUGACCCGUCUUGAAACACGGACCAAGGAGUCUAACAUGCCUGCGAGUAUUUGGGUGUAUAAACCCUUGUGCGCAAUGAAAGUGAAAAUUGAGAUCCCUGUCAUGGGGAGCAUUGAUGCCCGGACUUGAGCUUUUAGCRAUGGAUCUGCGGUCAAGCAUGCAUGUUGGGACCCGAAAGAUGGUGAACUAUGCCUGAAUAGGGCAAAGCCAGAGGAAACUCUGGUGGAGGCUCGUAGCGAUUCUGACGUGCAAUCGAUCGUCCAAUUUGGGUAU
Molecule: ribosomal RNA, 865 nt
Filed under: Amanita circulata
Lineage: Eukaryota; Fungi; Basidiomycota; Agaricomycetes; Agaricales; Amanitaceae
Description: Amanita sp. QC-2023a partial large subunit ribosomal RNA
Source: RNAcentral